AGUCAGGAAUUUCCACCUGACCCACCAUUUACUCAUUCCUGGUAGAUAAGUCUGGGUUACUGGCUUUCAAUGUGAGGGAGAAGAUUACGUUAUGAAGGGAAAUACUGCUUGUUUGCCUCUGCUAUUAAUGUUGUGUUUCUUCACAGGAGUCUAUGGGUAAAACAUCAGGGAAGCUGUUUGAUAGCAGUGAUGAGGAAUCUGAUUCUGAAGAUGACAGUAAUAGGUUCAAAAUUAAGCCUCAGUUUGAGGGCAGAGCUGGACAGAAGCUCAUGGAUUUACAGUCGCACUUUGGCACUGAUGACAGAUUCCGCAUGGACUCUCGAUUUCUAGAAACUGACAGUGAAGAGGAACAGGAAGAGGUAAAUGAAAAGAAAACUGAGGAAGAAGAGCUUGCUGAAGAAAAAAAGA
This 408-nucleotide small RNA is filed under the name Pongo abelii (Sumatran orangutan). RNAcentral describes it as "retained intron". Lineage: Eukaryota; Metazoa; Chordata; Mammalia; Primates; Hominidae. The record is from RNAcentral.